Molecule: long non-coding RNA, 555 nt
Filed under: Homo sapiens (human)
Lineage: Eukaryota; Metazoa; Chordata; Mammalia; Primates; Hominidae
Description: non-protein coding lnc-CCDC82-8:1
Source: RNAcentral
UACCAUUCUGAGUUAAUGUGGCUCAGAUAAAUAUUGAUAUAUGACAUGGACUUCUUCAAGAGGGCAUAUUUAUGUUUACAGUUUACAUCCCCAAUAACUAUUCAGAUAGUGAUUAUCUAUGAUUGGUGUUUGAUAUUCCUAUCAUACACUGCUAGUUGAUCCCACCUCAGGUGAACCGGAUAUAAAGAGAGCAUUUGCAAAAUGGAGGUGGAGCCAUAAUUAUAUUUGGCAAGUAUUAAUGUGUGCAAGGAGAGUUUUUUACAAGACAGAUAUGGAAAUCCCCCAAAUCCCAAAGCUGCAGUAUUAUUUCAUUUUUUGAAAGGAAAGUGUUAAGGUGUGCACUACUCCUUUGUUUGACUAACCUACUAUAAAAGACCCUCACACAAUUAGCUUUCCUCCUUGGAAUCCUUAUGUACAUAACAAAACCAGAGAGAAAUGCUGACUCAGAAAAAGCCUGAAGAACAGCACAAUAAAAGUAUUCAUGUUACCAGCUUGGCAUGGGUGAAGCCUGGCUCAAUACAACCUUCAGUAAAGAAGACAACAAUGGCAGCUUAA